CGUGAUAAGCUGCGAAAAGUCACGGGGAGGUGCAAAUAACCCUUGAUCCGUGAAUCUCCGAAUGGGACAACCCGGUAUCCUGAAGGGAUAUCACCUUACUAAUGUAAGGGGCUAACGCAGGGAACUGAAACAUCUUAGUACCUGCAGGAAAAGAAAAUAACAAUGAUUCCCCCAGUAGUGGCGAGCGAACGGGGAAUAGCCCAAACCAACA
This 211-nucleotide ribosomal RNA is filed under the name Bacteroides caecigallinarum. RNAcentral's name for it is "partial 23S ribosomal RNA". It matches the Rfam family "Bacterial large subunit ribosomal RNA", at positions 57 to 279 of the family's 2925-position model. Lineage: Bacteria; Pseudomonadati; Bacteroidota; Bacteroidia; Bacteroidales; Bacteroidaceae. The record is from RNAcentral.